GACGAACGCUGGCGGCGUGCUUAACACAUGCAAGUCGAACGGAAAGGCCCUGCUUGCAGGGUACUCGAGUGGCGAACGGGUGAGUAACACGUGGGUGAUCUGCCCUGCACUUCGGGAUAAGCCUGGAAACUGGGUCUAAUACCGGAUAGGAGCCAUUUUUAGUGUGAUGGUUGGAAAGUUUUUUCGGUGUAGGAUGAGCUCGCGGCCUAUCAGCUUGUUGGUGGGGUAAUGGCCUACCAAGGCGGCGACGGGUAGCCGGCCUGAGAGGGUGGACGGCCACAUUGGGACUGAGAUACGGCCCAGACUCCUACGGGAGGCAGCGGUGGGGAAUAUUGCACAAUGGGCGCAAGCCUGAUGCAGCGACGCCGCGUGGGGGAUGACGGCCUUCGGGUUGUAAACUCCUUUCGCUAGGGACGAAGCUUUUUGUGACGGUACCUAGAUAAGAAGCACCGGCUAACUACGUG
This 464-nucleotide ribosomal RNA is filed under the name uncultured bacterium. Its description in RNAcentral is "partial 16S ribosomal RNA". It matches the Rfam family "Bacterial small subunit ribosomal RNA", at positions 28 to 507 of the family's 1533-position model. The record is from RNAcentral.